CAGCCGUAAACUAUGCGCGUUAGGUGUAUCGGUGACCACGAGUCACCGAGGUGCCGAAGGGAAACCGUGAAACGUGCCGCCUGGGAAGUACGGUCGCAAGGCUGAAACUUAAAGGAAUUGGCGGGGGAGCACCGCAACGGGAGGAGCGUGCGGUUUAAUUGGAUUCAACACCGUAAAACUCACCAGGGAAGACUGUUACAUGAAGGCCGAGAUGAAGACUCUGCUAGAUUUUCAGAGAGGUGGUGCAUGGCGUCAGUGACU
Molecule: ribosomal RNA, 261 nt
Filed under: uncultured archaeon
Lineage: Archaea
Description: partial 16S ribosomal RNA
Rfam family: Archaeal small subunit ribosomal RNA
Source: RNAcentral